Molecule: long non-coding RNA, 652 nt
Filed under: Mytilus galloprovincialis (Mediterranean mussel)
Lineage: Eukaryota; Metazoa; Mollusca; Bivalvia; Mytilida; Mytilidae
Source: RNAcentral
GUCGCUCACCUUGGUCUAUGUGCAUAUUAAACAAAGGACACAAAUGGAUUCAUGACAAAAUUGUAUUUUGGUGAUGGUGAUGUGUUUGAAGUUCUUACUUUACUGAACAUUCUUGCUUCUUACAAUUAUAUCUAUAAUGAACUUUGCCCAUUAGUAACAGAGAAAAAUAUUUGGUAAAAAUUUACAUAAAUUUACCAAAUUAAUGAAAAUUGUUAAAAAUUGACUAUAAAGGGCAAUAACUCCUUAAGGGGUCAAUUGACCAUUUAGGUCAUGUGGACUUAUUUGUAGAUCUUACUUUGAUGAACAUUAUCGCUGUUUACAGUUUAUCGCUAUCUAUAAUAGUAUUCAAAGAUAAUAAACCAAAACAGCAAAAUUUCUUUAAAAAUUACCAAUUGGAGGGCAGCAACCCAACAACCGGUUGUCCAAUUCAUUUGAAUAUUUCAGGGCAGAUAUAUAUUGACUUGAUUAACAAUUUAACUCCUUGUCAGAUUUCCUCUAAAUGAUUUGGUUUCAGAGUUGUAAGCAAAAAACUACAUUUUACCCCUGUUCUAUUUUUAGCCGUGGUGGCCAUCUUGGUUGGAUGGCCAGGUCAUCGGACACAUUUUUCAAACAAGGUACCUCAAAGAUGAUUGUGGCCAAGUUUGAAAUAAUU